Molecule: ribosomal RNA, 351 nt
Filed under: uncultured bacterium
Lineage: Bacteria
Description: bacterial SSU rRNA
Rfam family: Bacterial small subunit ribosomal RNA
Source: RNAcentral
AUUCCUUCGAGGACCUGACCAGCAACGCCGCGUGAGCGAAGAAGGCCUUCGGGUUGUAAAGCUCAAUACCAUGGGACGAUAAUGACGGUCCACACGAAAGCCCCGGCUAACUACUUGCCACCAGCCGCGGUAAUACUUAGGGGGCGAGCGUUGUCCGGAAUAUCUGGGCGUAAAGAGCAGUGCGGCGGCUAUUUUACUCAUGUGGGAAAAACCUGGGCUUAACAACUGAUAUGCUGCAUUAACUAUAUUGCUUGUUUAAUGGAGAGGAGAGAGAAAUUCCUGGUGGAGUGGUGAAGAGCUUCGUAAUCAUGAAGAAUACCACCGGCGAAAGCGGCUCUCUGGACGUGACCU